UGCAUUGUUGUCGAUGAUGUAUUCUUGUUGGAACUGAAUUUAAGUGAUCUUAAAUAAGGAUUUGUCACUACCACUGAGAUGACAAUGAA
RNAcentral lists this small nucleolar RNA (89 nucleotides) under Procavia capensis (Cape rock hyrax). RNAcentral describes it as "Small nucleolar RNA SNORD70 (ENSPCAG00000019063.1)". It matches the Rfam family "Small nucleolar RNA SNORD70". From Rfam's summary of the family: snoRNA HBII-234 belongs to the C/D family of snoRNAs. Lineage: Eukaryota; Metazoa; Chordata; Mammalia; Hyracoidea; Procaviidae. The record is from RNAcentral.